UCAGUUUGGGUGAGACGACUGC
This 22-nucleotide non-coding RNA is filed under the name Arabidopsis thaliana (thale cress). The record is from RNAcentral. Lineage: Eukaryota; Viridiplantae; Streptophyta; Magnoliopsida; Brassicales; Brassicaceae.